RNAcentral lists this long non-coding RNA (258 nucleotides) under Homo sapiens (human). RNAcentral's name for it is "HSALNT0190284". The record is from RNAcentral. Lineage: Eukaryota; Metazoa; Chordata; Mammalia; Primates; Hominidae.
UUUUUUAUGAUUUAAUGAUUUUAUUAAAUGAUUAUUUAGUGCUUAUAUUUCAGCAUAAAUACAAGCAUUAAAAACUUAUCAGUUGAUUCUCCAUGACUUUUGUCUUGCAAUAUAUUGUCGCAUGUCUGUGCUUGGAAAAGGUAGAGGACGUGGGUAACAGGCAGGCUGGCAACUUGAAUUACCUGUGCCAGCUGUUGAAGACAUUCUGCUCACAAUGCUGCUUCAGAGGGUCAUCUGGAUGCCAGGUGCAUAAAUAGC